This 135-nucleotide ribosomal RNA is filed under the name Pteroclava krempfi. RNAcentral describes it as "partial 28S ribosomal RNA". It matches the Rfam family "Eukaryotic large subunit ribosomal RNA", at positions 1775 to 1909 of the family's 3401-position model. The record is from RNAcentral. Lineage: Eukaryota; Metazoa; Cnidaria; Hydrozoa; Anthoathecata; Cladocorynidae.
UUGUGGUGUCCGGUGCGCUCCUGAAGGCCCUUGAAAAUCCGAGGGAAAGAUUGAUUUUCACGUCCGUUCGUACUCAUAACCGCAGCAGGUCUCCUAGGUGAGCAGCCUCUGGUCGAUAGAACAAUGUAGGUAAGG